Molecule: long non-coding RNA, 7690 nt
Filed under: Marmota monax (woodchuck)
Lineage: Eukaryota; Metazoa; Chordata; Mammalia; Rodentia; Sciuridae
Rfam family: tRNA (bases 5030-5091)
Source: RNAcentral
GUUUGGAGAAGGAUCCAUGUGCUGUUGAGAAGAAAGUGUAUUUGCUCAUUGCUGGAGGGAACAUUCUAUAUAUAUCUGUUAAGUCUAGCUUAUUAAUUAUCUUACUGUAUUCUAUAGUUUCUCUGUUUAGUUUUUGUUUGGAAGAUCUAUCCAGUGGUGAGAGAGGUAUAUUAAAGUCACACAGUAUUAUUGUGUUGUGGUCUAUUUAGUUCUUGUAGUUGAGAAGGGUUUGUUUGAUAUACAUAGAUGACCCGUUGUUUGGGGCAUAGGUAUUUAUGAUUGUUAUGUCUUGUUGAUGCAUGAAUCCCUUAAGCAGUAUGAAAUGGACUUCUUUAUCCCUUUUCACUAGCUUUGGUUUGAAGGUCUACUUUAUCGGAUUUGAAGAUGAAAACCCCUGCUUAUUUACAUGGUCCAUGUGAGUGGUAUGUUUUUCCCACCCUUUCACCUUCAGUCUGUGGUUGUCUUUUUCUGUGAGAUGAGUCUCUUGAAGGCUGCAUAUUGUUGGUUCUUUUUCUAAAUUCAGCCUAUCAGUCAAUCUAUGUCUUUUAAUUGAUGAGUUUAGGCCGUUCACGUUCAGGAUUAUAAUUGAAAUAUGAUUUGUAUUCCAAGUCACUUUGGUUUAUUUUUGGUUUUUAACUUGACUUGGUUUCUCCUUUGAUUGGCCUUUCCUUUAGUAUAGUUCCUUCCUUUGCUGAUUUUCAUUGUUGUUUUUCAUUUCCUCCUGGAAUAUUUUGCUCAGAGUUCUCUGUAGUGCAGGCUUUCUCACUGGAAAUUCUUUUAACUUUUGUUUAUCAUGAAAAGUUUUUAUUUCGUCAUCAAAUCUAAAGCUUAAUUUACUCCACUCACAUGGACCAUCUAAAUAAGCAGGGGUUUCCAUCCUCAGAUAAAGUGGAGUUCAAACCAAAGCUAGUGAAAAAGGAUAAAGAAGGACAUUUUCACAUCCAUUUUCUUUCAGAGCUUGGUAUAUGUUGUUCCAGGGUCUCCUAGCUUUGAGGGUCUGGGUUGAAAAAAUCUCCUAAGAUACAAAUUGGUUUCCCCCUAUAUGUGAUCUGAUUCCUCUCUCAUGGCCUUUAAGAUUCUAUCCUUAUUCUGUAUGCUAGGCAUUUUCAUUGUAAUGUGCCUUGGUAUAGAUCUGUUGUAAUUUUGUAUAUUUGGACUCCUGUAAGCCUAUUACAUUUGAUUUUUCAAUUUAUUCUUCAUGUUUGGGAAAUUUUCUGAUAGUAUUUCAUUGAAGAGAUUGUACUUUCCUUUGGUUUGCAUCUCUAUGCCUUCCUCUAUUGCAAUAAAUCUUAGAUUUGGUCUUUUGAUACUGUCCCAUAAUUUUUGGAUGUUCUGUUCAUAGUUUCUUGCCAUCUUCACUGUGUGAUCAACGUUGUUUUCAAGAUCAUAUAUUUUGUCUUCAUUAUCUGAUGUUCUGUCUUCCAAGUGAUCUAAUCUAUUGGUGAUGCUUUCUGUUGAGUUUUUUAUUUGGUUUAUUAUUUCCUUCAUUUCAAAGAUUUCUGAUUUUUUUUCAGAAUCUCUCUCUCUUUCUUGAAGUAAUCUUUUGCUACCUGUAUUUGCUCCCUGUAUUUGCUCUCUUUGUUGGAGAAUUUUUGCCUUAAUUCACUUAACUCAUUCUUUAAUUCAUAGAUCAUUUUAAUUAUAUAUGUUCUGAACUCCUUCUCUGACAUUUCAUCAACUGCACUGUCCAUGGAUUCUAUUAUUGUAGUAUCUUGGUUUGUUGGGGCACUUUUCUCCCUUGUUUUUUCAUGAUUUCUAUGUGUCUCCCUUUCUUGCAGUGUGGAUUUGAGGUAUUACAGUUUCUACCCUAUAAUCUUGUAGUGUCCCAGCAGAUUACCCAUACCUCACCUUGGUGUUGGGCUUCUGGUCCCCGGCCAUUGUUCCAUGAUAAAUGCUACUGCAUCUAAAGGUGGUGGUAGCAAUAGUGGAGGUAACUCAGGAUAGCAGUGAGAGUGUCCCAAGAUAGCUGCAACCACUUUCAGAGUUGAGGCUGAAAGGGUGGGCUGGCCUAGUCAGAGAUGCAGCUGCCUCCAGACCCUAUCUGUUGUCCCAAGGUGGAGGCUGCUGCACGGAGAGGGCUAUGACAAUGGCUGCAGUGUCCCAGGAUAGAGAUGAGCUAGACUGGGCUCCAGUGUCCCAAGAUGGAGGUGAACUAGGCCUGGGCUCCCGCAUGGGUCUUGUCUUGCUUUCUAUGGAAAACAAUUUUGAGGGAAAAUUUGACACAAAAUAUUUGGAACACAAAAAGAGUACUCUUGAUUAGCAAAAAAAAAAAAAAAAGUGAAAACAAAAUAGCAAAAUAAAAGGAUUCUUGAAGUUUUUAAGUCAAUUUUAGAAUUUGUAUGAAAGGUGUAGGUUGUAGUAUGGAAAACAGAGAUGUUUUUGUGACUGGACAACAUGGCUGAGUCUGAUUCAAACUGAAGAAGUUUCCUCAUCAAGUGAUGUGUUCAUUUCAGUAUGCUUGCAAGGCAUCCUUGAAAAACACAGAUCAAGAUUAUCCUGCCUCUGAAAUCAAAUGGAAGUGUAGCAUUCUUUGACUGUUGUAUUGGUUAUUAAAUACUAUCAUAAUGUUUCAAUUUUGCAAAGUGAUUUAUGGUAAAAGAAUAACUAGUGCCAUUUUGACAGAGUACAGUAUUUUUUCAGUAGGAAUGGGCUUAUCUUAAAAAAAACAAAAAAGUAUAGAUACAGAUGCGGAUGGAGUCCAGCCUAGAAGAGCAAACCAUGGAUGCAGUGUCUGGAGUGGGGUCCACUCAGCACUCUAGGUGCUCCAGGAGUACCUACAUCAGAGACCAAUAACACUGCUCCUUGAAGAGGGUGUCAUGGGCUGUUCAUUGUCUUCCCUGCUUUUGUUCAAGAUGGCAAAAUCAUAUGUAAAAAGUUGUGUUUUGGAUAUUAAUCUUUUUAGACAAAUCUAUUAUGAAAAUAAAAAUGACUUUGGAGACUUCCUAGUGCAUGAAACAGGUCUUUGUAGUUAGUGUAAUUUUUAUUUGUUAAUGUAGAAAAAUUAAUGUCAUAGUAAAAAUGUAAAACCUAUAUAAAGAAAAUAGUUACUGUCCCCUUUAAUACUUAAGAGUGAUUCACAAGACUAUCUUAUUUCACAUUUAUUAUUUGAAAGUCAAAAUUGAAUGUAUUUUUUAGAUGCAAUCAGAUUGCUGCAAUAUAAAGUUUCAGAAUAGGAUACAGGAAGUUCAUUGGGUAAGUUGAAUGACAUUUCAGUUCACUUAAAUGUGAUGAAAAUUCCUCUUUAGUUGUAAGUGAAGAACAUCCUUCUUUCUUUCUUUCCUAUAAAAAUAUUUCACAAUUCAUUUAAUAAAAACAAAUUAACUUAUAAAUCCAAGACUUCUGCAAUCUACCAUAAGAUUUAAAACAGCUUAACCUUUUAGCAAGGAAAUGCAUUUAAUCAAAAUUUACACCUAUAGAUGCCUGAAAAUGUUACAGCUUGCCACCUUGGCAAAAUUCAUGACGUCUCUACUUAGGUGCCCUCACAUAGUUCAGAGAUCAAUGAAGAGAAAAUCAUUUCCCCACAUACUUAGGAAUCUGUAUCCUCAGAAUACUGUGACACUGGAAAUAGGAAAGAAAUUGUCUGGAUGCUAAACAUGGAGUUGUUUUCCUUCAGCUGGAUUUUCCAGUUAGUAGAUUCCAUGAAGCACACAACUCAUGCACCACGUUAACAAGAUAGGACAUUUUUCGCCUCGGUGCUGAUUUAAAUGUUUUUAAUAUUUCAGUCAGGAAAACAGAAUUUACUUUAUUUGCAAGCAUAAAGCAUUUUAAAGUAGGAAAUUAGAAGUUUCCAGUUAUCAAAUGAGGCAGAAGAUGUCUGCUGCACUGAGAGAGUGAAUCUUAGGAGCCCCUGCUCUGAAUCUUCAGAACAUACGGAAGUUCUUGCAGUCUCGGCAUGCGACCCAGAUGUGUCCAGGAGCCCAGACCAGCCAGCCUGCUGUUAACAGCACCAAUGCAGGUGAAACGCAAGAGAUUUGGAAGCUGCUGUGAAGACCCUGUCCCCUACCUACCCACACAUCUGCCUGUUGUGGCAUCUGAGGAUGGAGGCCCAGUCCUUUUCUCUGCCUUCAAAUCUCAUGGAAAUUCCUCCUCUCACUUCCAACCCUAACUUAGAAUCAGACAGAAAAGAGGAUUCUGGGAAAUGUAGUUUUUGUUUUCCCUGCAAUGCAGAGGACACUACAGCCUGCCAUGGUAAUGAAGCAAACACUGUGAUGUACAGAGAGGACAAAGCAAGAAAAGAACUAUCUUCCAUUAGGGAUUCUAUAAUGAAAAUUAGGACUGCAUCUAGAUGGUAAGUGGGUCAAUUUUUCUGACCACGCUAAGAUGAAUAUAGUUAAGACUGGAGCCCUAGUACCCACCAGUUUCCUUUCUAUCUCCCUUCCUUUGUACCUACUCUCCCUCCUAUAGUAAUUGCUCAAUAAAUACUGAACUUAAUUUAGCACUUAUUUGGGGCCAGCUUUUUUCCAGGCUGCUACAUGCUUGGCACCAGAGAGUUUAAGAGUGAACUGGAAGAAUAUGGUCCUUGCCCUCAGGGAGCUUACAUUUGGCAGUUGUCAUAUGAAAAGCUCUAAUUAGAAGAAAAAUGACCAUUGGGAAAGCAAGAAAAGGGAUAUGUGAGGAUGGAGUCCUCCUGUUUAUCUUGUUAUACACUCACCAAGUAACUGAAUCUAAUUUUCUUUUCUCAAUUAACAGACUAAUAGAAAAUCAAUAGUUUUCUAAAAAGAAGCUAAUCAUUUGAGUGAUGAUUUCUGUGUAAUGUGUCCAAAAGAAACUGUUCUCCUUGGGGCUGCAGUUGGAUAAGAGCUGUGGUGCCUUGAGAGUCUGACAUUUAUGAGACAUUCACAGUUAUUGCUGCCAACAGAGAGGAGAGAAUUAGAAAUAAGGGAGAGAAAGGAAUUUGAAAUCUAAGCUAGGCAUGGUGGUGAAAGUCUAUUAUCCCAAUGACUUAGGAGCCUGAGGCAGGAGAAUCAAGUUCAGUACCAGCCUGUGCAAUUUAGCAAGGCUCUAUCUCACAAAUAAAAUAAUUUGUGGAUAUAGUUUAGUUGGUAGAGUGCUUGCCUAGCAUGCAUGAGGCCCUGGAUUCAAUCUCUAGUACUAGGGAUGGGGGUGGGGAGCAUUUCAUCAGCAUGCAUUUGAAUAAAUGCAUUAAUUAUGCACCUUAUAAAAUGUACCUUAAAAUGUUUGUGAUUUAAUCUUAUCUUGUCCCUUAGCAAUUUUUAAUGAAAAUGGAAUAUAGAGAAAAUCCUCUUAAUGGUUCAUACUAACAUUUUUUUCCCCAUAAUUUAAAUACUGUAUCAACCUGCCCAUUCUUCAUUUGGUUAACAUGAAAAUGAAGCAAUAUCAUACUUUUCUCUAAAUUAUCCUAACUUUAAAUGCAUAAAUUGAACUAAAUAACUAACACACUAAAUAAGAUUUUAUAUACACUAUUGCUCCUGGCAAAUUUUUAAGAGGUUAGUCACCUAAUUACUCAGAGUGGGAUUCUGCAGGUUUUGUGUAGAUGGCGUUUCUGCUUAAAAUGGAAUUGGUGGGAGGCAAAACCAGAUUUCCUGCAUGGUCAUUACAUGAAUAACACCCCUCCUUGUUUCAGAGGGAGUCUUCUAGAACUGAACUGAGUUUUUAAAUAAAUGUGAAAAGGCAUCAAUUCCCACAUUGGCCAACCCCAAGUACAAAUUUUUAAGCGUUUACUGUAAGUACUGUUGGACAGUUAGUUGCUAACUCUAAUACCUAUUAGCCUUGGCAGAUAAUUUAGAAAUGUAAUUACUUAGCCUCAACUAGGAUUGAUUUGUACCUAGUUUCACUUUCUAAUGCCCAGUGAAAGUUUUUAUCAGCGGUUUAGUGGUAUGCCUGAAAUACUGCACUAAGACCAGGAAAGAAAGAAUUAUUUUUCUAGAAACCAGGGAGUUAAGGUACCCAAGAGUUAAGGUACAGUCUUUUUCCUUUUUAAUAAUUUUUCUACAUAAAGAUUUGACAGUGAAAAGCUUUCAGAUCAAAGCUGAUCUUUCUGUCAGUAAUGAGUCCAGAAACAUGCCAAAUUUUAGUGGGGAAUAAGUCAUAUUUUAUUGCAUUCUUUUUACAAACCUAGAUGCUAUAUUCAUUUUUACUGCAUUUCAAGGUGUUUCCAAGUGAGCCUGACCAGUCUGACCUUUUUCCUGCCAAAUUGAAUGUUUCAAGCUCCCUAAAGAUUACCAUGAUUUUAAUAUUUAUUACUAGUUUGCAGUGGGGAGUAUACCAAGAUUUAACAAGAUAACCUUUGUCAUAUUCAUUUUAGUUCUACCCUGGAUGAUUAGGGCAUUUCUUACUCAAAAUUAGGGCCUUUCCUGUUUUUUUCAUUUCUUUUCCUGAUCUGUGGUCAAACAUUUUUCUUAGUACUUCAGAAAGUUUUUAAUGUUGUAUUAAGCUUUCUUAGGUCUGGAACUGAGGCAAGUGACCAUUACUUUCCUUUGGAGUGGCAUGGAUGUUUGUAAUAAAGAGCCCAUUCUCUAUAAUGUGUAAAAUAUAUUUAAUGCUAACUUUGAUUUCAGAUAACUAGAUUCUUGUAAGUUGUAAGAAACAAUACAGGUGUCUUAUAUAUCCUCCAUGCUUUUUCUCCCAAAGUAUCUUAGAAAAGUAUAGUCCAAUAUCACAAUAAAGAUAUUGACAUAGAUCCAGUCAAGAGAAAUUUUACACAUAGAACCUAUUCCAGCACAAGGAUCCCUCAUGUUGCUUUUGUACCUAUACCCACUUUGCUCCCAUCCCUAUCCACGCCUUGAUCUUUGGCAACCAUAAUCUGUUCACCUUUUUUUUCCAUUUCAACAAUGUCAUAUACCUGGAAUCAUGGUAGUACGUAGCCUUUUGGGAUUGAUUUCUCGUUCAGCAUAAUUCUCUGGAGAUUUCUCCCAAUUGCUGUGUAUACGAGUCCAUCUGUGUUCCCUGGUGAAUACUGAUCAUACAACACUUCAUUGAACUAUUCACCUGCUGAGAGGUAUCUGGCCAGUUCUUUUUUUUUUUUUCUAUUAUGAAAAAAAUUGCUAUAAACAUUUGUGCACAGGUUUUUGUGGAGCAUGGUCUCCAUUUCUUUAAGAUAAAUGUCUAGCAGUGCAGUUGUUGGAUCAUAUGGUUGUUGAAUGUUUAGUUUUUAAGAAAUUGCCAAAAUUACUGGUUUCCAAAGUAACUGUACUGUUUUACAUUCCUUUAUGAGUGAUUUAGUUUCUUCAUGUCCUGUACAACAGCCUUUGGUGGUGUCAUUAUUGUUUAUUUUAGUCAUUCUGAUAGGUAUAUAGUGAUAACUGUGAUUUUGAUUUCACUAAUGGUUAAUAAUGUUGAACAUAUUGUCUAUUGCCUAUUUGCCAACCAUAUUUCUUCUCUAAUUACAUAUUUCUUCAUGUCUUUUCCCCUUUUUCUAAUUGAACUUUGUUUAGUUGUUUUGAGAUGUCAGUUAAAAAAAAAAAAAACACGGAUUCUACAUGCCAGUCCUUUAUUGCAUACGUGAUUUGCAAAAUUUUCUCCCAGCCAGUAGCACGCCUUUUCAUCCUCUCAACUGAGUGUUCUGCAGAGCAAAAAUAUUUACUUUUGAUGAAGUCCAAUUUAUCCAUUUUUCUUUUUGAGUCAUGCUUCUGGUAUCAAAAACUCAUUGCCUGACUCUGAUUCCCCAAGAUUUUCUCUUUUAUGUUCUUUUUAAAAAGUAUUAUAGUUUUCCAUUACUUUUAAGUGCAGG